Molecule: ribosomal RNA, 490 nt
Filed under: uncultured bacterium
Lineage: Bacteria
Description: partial 16S ribosomal RNA
Rfam family: Bacterial small subunit ribosomal RNA
Source: RNAcentral
AUUGAACGCUGGCGGCAGGCCUAACACAUGCAAGUCGAACGGUAACAGAAAGCAGCUUGCUGCUUUGCUGACGAGUGGCGGACGGGUGAGUAAUGUCUGGGAAACUGCCUGAUGGAGGGGGAUAACUACUGGAAACGGUAGCUAAUACCGCAUAACGUCGCAAGACCAAAGAGGGGGACCUUCGGGCCUCUUGCCAUCGGAUGUGCCCAGAUGGGAUUAGCUAGUAGGUGGGGUAACGGCUCACCUAGGCGACGAUCCCUAGCUGGUCUGAGAGGAUGACCAGCCACACUGGAACUGAGACACGGUCCAGACUCCUACGGGAGGCAGCAGUGGGGAAUAUUGCACAAUGGGCGCAAGCCUGAUGCAGCCAUGCCGCGUGUAUGAAGAAGUCCUUCGGGUUGUAAAGUACUUUCAGCGGGGAGGAAGGGAGUAAAGUUAAUACCUUUGCUCAUUGACGUUACCCGCAGAAGAAGCACCGGCUAACUCCGUG